AUUGAACGCUGGCGGUAUGCUUAACACAUGCAAGUCGAACGGUAGCAGAAGAGAGCUUGCUCUCUUGCUGACGAGUGGCGGACGGGUGAGUAAUGCUUGGGAAUCUGCCUAGUAGUGGGGGACAACACGAGGAAACUCGUGCUAAUACCGCAUACGUCCUACGGGAGAAAGUGGGGGAUCUUCGGACCUCACGCUAUUAGAUGAGCCCAAGUCGGAUUAGCUUGUUGGUGAGGUAACGGCUCACCAAGGCGACGAUCCGUAGCUGGUUUGAGAGGAUGACCAGCCACACUGGGACUGAGACACGGCCCAGACUCCUACGGGAGGCAGCAGUGGGGAAUAUUGUACAAUGGGCGCAAGCCUGAUACAGCAAUGCCGCGUGAGUGAAGACGGCCUUAGGGUUGUAAAACUCUUUCGCCAGGGAAGAUAAUGACGGUACCUGGUAAAGAAGUCCCGGCUAACUCCGUGCCAGCAGCCGCGGU
This 479-nucleotide ribosomal RNA is filed under the name uncultured bacterium. RNAcentral describes it as "bacterial SSU rRNA". It matches the Rfam family "Bacterial small subunit ribosomal RNA", at positions 30 to 521 of the family's 1533-position model. The record is from RNAcentral.